This 219-nucleotide long non-coding RNA is filed under the name Elaeis guineensis (African oil palm). Its description in RNAcentral is "long non-coding RNA (EGUI_LNC021608)". The record is from RNAcentral. Lineage: Eukaryota; Viridiplantae; Streptophyta; Magnoliopsida; Arecales; Arecaceae.
ACUUGAACUUAAAAUCCUUGGAUUGCCCAUCCACCGCCUUAACCAGUAAGGAGCAGGUUGUCAAUGAUUUUAUUGAUAAAAUUUUUAUAUUGUGUGAUCCAGUUAGGUUCAAUUCUAUAUGAUAAUGAGACAUGUCGUGAUCUCAUCAUCGACAUCAUCGAAACUCCUUUCGAUGGACCAGAACUCUUCUGAUUCAGACAAUUAGAAUGAUCGAUCAUC